AUUACAUGCAAGUCGAGCGGACAGAUGGGAGCUUGCUCCCUGAUGUUAGCGGCGGACGGGUGAGUAACACGUGGGUAACCUGCCUGUAAGACUGGGAUAACUCCGGGAAACCGGGGCUAAUACCGGAUGGUUGUCUGAACCGCAUGGUUCAGACAUAAAAGGUGGCUUCGGCUACCACUUACAGAUGGACCCGCGGCGCAUUAGCUAGUUGGUGAGGUAACGGCUCACCAAGGCGACGAUGCGUAGCCGACCUGAGAGGGUGAUCGGCCACACUGGGACUGAGACACGGCCCAGACUCCUACGGGAGGCAGCAGUAGGGAAUCUUCCGCAAUGGACGAAAGUCUGACGGAGCAACGCCGCGUGAGUGAUGAAGGUUUUCGGAUCGUAAAGCUCUGUUGUUAGGGAAGAACAAGUGCCGUUCAAAUAGGGCGGCACCUUGACGGUACCUAACCAGAAAGCCACGGCUAACUACGUGCCAGCAGCCGCGGUAAUACGUAGGUGGCAAGCGUUGUCCGGAAUUAUUGGGCGUAAAGGGCUCGCAGGCGGUUUCUUAAGUCUGAUGUGAAAGCCCCCGGCUCAACCGGGGAGGGUCAUUGGAAACUGGGGAACUUGAGUGCAGAAGAGGAGAGUGGAAUUCCACGUGUAGCGGUGAAAUGCGUAGAGAUGUGGAGGAACACCAGUGGCGAAGGCGACUCUCUGGUCUGUAACUGACGCUGAGGAGCGAAAGCGUGGGGAGCGAACAGGAUUAGAUACCCUGGUAGUCCACGCCGUAAACGAUGAGUGCUAAGUGUUAGGGGGUUUCCGCCCCUUAGUGCUGCAGCUAACGCAUUAAGCACUCCGCCUGGGGAGUACGGUCGCAAGACUGAAACUCAAAGGAAUUGACGGGGGCUCGCACAAGCGGUGGAGCAUGUGUUUUAAUUCGAACCAACGCGAAGAACCUUACCAGGUCUUGACAUCCUCUGACAAUCCUAGAGAUAGGACGUCCCCUUCGGGGGCAGAAUGACAGGUGGUCCAUGCUUUUCCUCACCUCCUGUCGUGAAAUUUUGGGUUAAAUCCCCUCAACGAACCCCAACCUUUGAUCUUAGUUCCCAUCUUUCAGUUGGGCAAUCUAAGGGAACUGCCUGGUGACAA
RNAcentral lists this ribosomal RNA (1131 nucleotides) under Bacillus sp. (in: firmicutes). Its description in RNAcentral is "bacterial SSU rRNA". It matches the Rfam family "Bacterial small subunit ribosomal RNA", at positions 50 to 1161 of the family's 1533-position model. Lineage: Bacteria; Bacillati; Bacillota; Bacilli; Caryophanales; Bacillaceae. The record is from RNAcentral.